GAAUUGACACCCCUAGGUGGAAUAUUCUAUCCAUUCUUCGGUGUGUUCUCAUAUCUGCAACUCUUCUGCUCUAAAGUUAUGCAGGAGAGUGAUCCGAUGCGAUGUCUGACCCUCCGACCUAUGACAAGUUCCAGUUGGGCAACUCCAAUUUCUGUUUUUGGAUUCAAAAGGUUCCUUUGUCAAGAAAACGAUGACGAACAGAGCAAGAGAGAGAGAGAGAGAGUGGCUAGGGCAAGAAUUUGCGGGAUCCUUUCGCAGGAAGAAGGAAGAGACGAUUUCGAAAAUCAGUAAUGCAAGACCCUCGAAUGCUGCCACCUGAGAAAAUCUCAAAUGCAAGACGGAAAAAAAAAGCCUCAACACAUGUUACACCAGUGUUUCAGCAGCAAGGAGAGAAUCUCAAAGGGGUUCAGGAGAUAAUUCCUUCGUCGUUAAAGACCCCACAGAAGGUUCAGAAGAGAAACCUGAAGAAUGAAGGUACUCCAUCAUUUCAACAGCCAGAGAGAUCAACCUCGGAUUCCAGAUUCUUCAAGAUCUGGAAAUGAUUACAGAGCACUGAGACGAAAAUAUUUGCUUCUUGAAGAAGAAAGCUGUGGGUUGGGGAGGGAAUUGAGUGAGGUGGAAGAUGAAGUCAAGGCCCUGGCAGAUGAGAAGCUUGCACUCUUGGACCAGCUUGUUGUUUUAGAAGGUCUAAUUCAUCCCUCAGAACUUCAGCGCCGAGGGCCACCCCUGUAGUAAUAGUUGUUUUACAAACCAACACUAUUGCUGUAAAUAAAUUUGAUGAGUUCCUCAGUAUGAAAAGCAGAGAAACCCAGACUAUCCCAAAUCAUCACAAUUUGAUGGAAUUAUAAGAGAUGACAAAGGUCAUUGUGUGGCUGCUGCAUAGCAGACUAACCCAAAUCAUCACUUUUUUGCAGAAGCAGCAGCCAUUCAUCUUGGAUUGAAACUAACUAAUGAUCCUAGCAUCAAGAACAUCAUUUUGGAGAGUGAAUCUGCCGAGCUAAUUAAUUGCCUAGUUUCUAUUUUAUAGGAAGGACUUGUGAAUUUUCCUUCAGAAAUUUAUACCAUCCUUGUGGAAUAUAUCUUCUAGUUUUCUCUCU
RNA transcript from Macadamia integrifolia, 1097 nucleotides. RefSeq lists it as uncharacterized. NCBI's taxonomy places the organism in Eukaryota, Viridiplantae, Streptophyta, Magnoliopsida, Proteales, Proteaceae. The record is from RefSeq and is a predicted model, not a curated record. The transcript has 3 exons.